ACAUUUUACUGAUAAAGAAAUCAAGAUACAGAGAAGCUACUUCACUUCAGAUUUUAUAGGUAGGAAGUUUUGAAAAGAAGUUGGUAUUUAAACUCAGGCAUGAAGGUUCCUGAGACAAAAAGUGUUCACUGAAUGACCCCAUGUAGUUCAUGGUAGAAUAGGAUUAGAUCCCUGGAUGUUUCCUUCCCUGAGAGAUAAGGACAUCUGCUGAUAAGGACAAAAGAGCUGAGAAAUUUGGGGGAACUUAGAAAGUAGGGACAUGUACAUGUAAUUAAUUCUUGGGGCAGAAUAAAAAUAUCUUUUAUAGCAUUCUAGGUUAGAUUUUAUCCAUCCAUCCAUCCAUCCAUCCAUCCAUCCAUCCAUCCAUCCAUCCAUCCAUUCAUCCAUGCAUUUCAUGUGUGUAUGCACAUUUCAUGUGUACAUGCAUGUUUGGGUAGAUGUGUACGCACACAGAUGCUAGAGCUCAGCCUCCACUGUUGUUCCUCAGGGACCAUCUAUCUUGGUUGUUUUUGAAACAGGGCCUUUCAUUGGCCUAAAGAUUGCUAGCGUGGCUAGGCUGCCUGGUCAGUGAGCCUCAGGGAGCCACAUUUUCUGCCUUCUCAGCUCUGGGAUUUCUGAUUUCUCAGCUCUGUGUCUGUAGCCUUUUUUAUGUGGAGUCUAGAUACCAAUCAAGCUUGCUCACAUCCAGUAUAGUGAGCGGCAAACACUGUGCUGACUUAGCUAUCCUCAGAGGCCCUGUUUUUCAUUUUGCCAAAGAAAUGUUGCAUAUAAUAAGCAGUGAUCUUCAUCUUUGUUCUCAGUAUUGAACCAGAAGACAGGAGGAAACUUUCUAGUUUUAGUAACUGAUCAGAAAAGACUUUCUGAAGAGACUCACCUUGGUGCAGGAACAAGCCUUUGUCAAGUCCACCCUAAGAUUCAGGGUGUAUGGUCUAUUUGUGUCUGAACAGAGAGGAAAUUCUGUUCAUUGCUGCAGAAGGCACAGGAGUACUUUGAGAGGAGGAUUGUAGAGCCACAAAGAGAACUAAUCAGCUGGGUUAGGUUAUGCUCUGUAUAAUCAGCCCCCAGAUUGUCAUUGGACAGUCAUCAAUAAAUUUAGAACAAACAGAUUUUCUUUGAAAUAGCAUCUCACACAUCCCAGGCUGGCCUUGAGCUUGCUAUGUAGACAAGAGUGCCCUUGAAUGCCUGAUCCUCCAGCCUCCAUGUCUCAAGUAUUGAGGUUAUAGGCAUGUAUUCAAGCAUGCCAAGUUUGUGUGGUACUUGGAAUUGAACCCAGGGCCUUGUGCAUGUUAUGUGAGCAUCCAACCAAUCAAUUGAGCCACAUUCUCAAUCUACAAAUAGAAAGCCGAGAAAGGACUGUUUCUUGGGCCCUGUGGUAAAGUGAGAGUAUCACAGUAGAUAAUAUGAGCCAUAACAGCAGGAAAAGCCAAAGAUCUUGAUGACCAUUUGAGACUUUGCUGCACCCCAGAAUCCGGAGUUCAAAGCAUCAUCACUGAAAUUGUGAGGUUUUCAGAGAGGUGAAUGUCUAUCAUUGGUAACAUCUCUAAGAGGAUGUUGUGAUGAUUCUGAGUAGUAGUGAAGAAAGAAUAAAAAGACAUUUCUUGAGGGCUAACCCUCUGUAAGGCAUCCGUGGGUCAGACAUCCUUCAGGGCUGACAGGGGGAACCUCCAUUUUUAAUGAUUAAUUUAUUGUUUUAUAUACGCAUUGGAGUGUUGCUUGCAUGCAUGUCUGUGUGAAGGUGUUGGAUACCCUAGAACUGGGGUUACAGAUAGCUGUGAGCUGUCAUGUGGGUGCUGGGGAAAGAAGCUGGUUCCUCUGGAAGCACAGCCAGCCCUCUUGACCACUGAGCCAUCUCUCCAACCAUGACAGGGACAAUUUUAAAGCUGACCUGUAGGACUGCUCUUCUCAUGGACUCUGCUUGGAAACCUCUCUCUCUUCUACCGCCUGUUCAUCAGUUCCUGCAGGAAUCAACCCGGUCUAUUCCUCCAACAACAGAACCUCAGUGUAGGCAGUUUCUUUUCCUUACUUUGCCUGGUCAAAACUUUCUAGUCACAAAAGCUGUAGGGUGUUUUUAAGAGAAAUCUGAACUCAGACUUGUGAGGAAGUCUUUGUUCUGGAACUUUCUUGCUGUUGGACUAGGACAAAGCCCUUAUAUCUUAAGAGUAGCUCUCAUUUUGUUUUUACGUCUUUGAAAUGGUCUUCAUGUCCCUGUCACUGUAUACAUGACCAGACAUAAGGAUAAGUAGAGUUACUAUCUAUGUGUAGCUUUAGCAGCCCAGUAUGGCACUUGAAAGUCUAUAGUUUUUGAGUGAACAUGAAUCUCUCCAUGCUGUUCCCGGGAAGCUUAGCUGUGUCAUGAAUAUGUCAUUGAAUAGGUUUUAGAAAAAGAUAAUUCGCCUGCUUGGAAGAAACCUCAUCACACCUAGCUAUCACCUUAGAAAUAAAUUUAGUUAAAUC
Molecule: long non-coding RNA, 2454 nt
Filed under: Mus musculus (house mouse)
Lineage: Eukaryota; Metazoa; Chordata; Mammalia; Rodentia; Muridae
Description: long non-coding RNA chr11:43897971-43900425
Source: RNAcentral